GGGCCAGUGGUGUAGUGGUAACACACUGCGUUUGGACGUGAAAAGAUGUGGUUCGAUUCCCUACAGGUCCA
This 71-nucleotide transfer RNA is filed under the name Gongylonema pulchrum. It matches the Rfam family "tRNA". Rfam says of the family: Transfer RNA (tRNA) molecules are approximately 80 nucleotides in length. Lineage: Eukaryota; Metazoa; Nematoda; Chromadorea; Rhabditida; Gongylonematidae. The record is from Rfam by way of RNAcentral.